This 1565-nucleotide ribosomal RNA is filed under the name metagenome. RNAcentral's name for it is "bacterial LSU rRNA". It matches the Rfam family "Bacterial large subunit ribosomal RNA", at positions 1345 to 2925 of the family's 2925-position model. The record is from RNAcentral.
UCAAGGUUUCCAGGGGAAGGUUCGUCCGCCCUGGGUUAGUCGGGACCUAAGCCGAGGCCGAAAGGCGUAGGUGAUGGACAACAGGUUGAUAUUCCUGUACCGCCAAUAAGCGUUUGAGAGAUGGAGUGACACAGUAGGAUAAGCUAACCGUACUGUUGGUUAUGUACGGCUAAGCAUUGAGGCAGUCUAAAUAGGCAAAUCCGUUUAGACAAUGCUAGGAUGUGAUGGGGAAGCCCUUCGGGGCGAAGUAGCUGAUUUCACACUGUCAAGAAAAGCUUCUAUCGAGUUUAAAGGCGCCCGUACCGUAAACCGACACAGGUGGGUGAGGAGAGUAUCCUAAGGCCAGCGAGAGAACUAUUGUUAAGGAACUCGGCAAAAUGACCCCGUAACUUAGGGAGAAGGGGUGCCUGUCUAUGACAGGCCGCAGAGAAUAGGCCCAAGCGACUGUUUACCAAAAACACAGGUUUCUGCUAAGUCGCAAGACGAUGUAUAGGAGCUGACGCCUGCCCGGUGCUGGAAGGUUAAGGGGAUCUGUUAGAGCAAUCGAAGCAGUGAACUUAAGCCCCAGUAAACGGCGGCCGUAACGAUAACGGUCCUAAGGUAGCGAAAUUCCUUGUCGGGUAAGUUCCGACCCGCACGAAAGGCGUAACGAUUUGGGCACUGUCUCAACAAUAGACUCGGUGAAAUUGUAAUCCCGGUGAAGAUGCCGGGUACCUGCGACAGGACGGAAAGACCCCAUGGAGCUUUACUGUAGCUUGACGUUGGGUCUUGGUACUACAUGUACAGGAUAGGUGGGAGACUAUGAAGCAUGGACGCCAGUCUGUGUGGAGUCAUCCUCGGGAUACCACCCUUGUAGUACUGGGAUCCUAACCAUAGGCCUUGAAUCAGGUCUUGGAACACCGCCAGGUGGGCAGUUUGACUGGGGCGGUCGCCUCCUAAAAAGUAACGGAGGCGCUCAAAGGUUUCCUCAGCACGGUCGGAAAUCGUGCGAAGAGUGUAAAGGCAAAAGGAAGCUUGAUUGCAAGACAUACAGGUCGAGCAAGGACGAAAGUCGGACUUAGUGAUCCGGUGGUACCGCAUGGAAGGGCCAUCGCUCAACGGAUAAAAGCUACCCUGGGGAUAACAGGCUUAUCUCCCCCAAGAGUCCACAUCGACGGGGAGGUUUGGCACCUCGAUGUCGGCUCAUCACAUCCUGGGGCUGUAGUAGGUCCCAAGGGUUGGGCUGUUCGCCCAUUAAAGUGGUACGCGAGCUGGGUUCAGAACGUCGUGAGGCAGUUCGGUCCCUAUCCGUCGCAGGCGUAGGAAAUUUGAGAAGACCUGUCCUUAGUACGAGAGGACCGGGAUGGACGUACCUCUGGUGUACCAGUUGUUCUGCCAAGGGCAUGGCUGGGUAGCUAUGUACGGAAUGGAUAAGCGCUGAAAGCAUCUAAGCGCGAAGCCAACUUCAAGAUAAGAUUUCCCACCGUAAGGGUAAGACCCCAGGAAGACUACCUGGUUGAUAGGUCGAAGGUGUAAGUGCAGUAAUGUAUUUAGCUUAUCGAUACUAAUAGGUCGAGGACUUGACC